GGAAUCUUGCGCAAUGGGCGAAAGCCUGACGCAGCAACGCCGCGUGCGGGAUGAAGGCCUUCGGGCUGUAAACCGCUUUCAGCAGGAACGAAAAUGACGGUACCUGCAGAAGAAGGGGCGGCCAACUACGUGCCAGCAGCCGCGGUGACACGUAGGCUCCAAGCGUUGUCCGGAUUUAUUGGGCGUAAAGAGCUCGUAGGCGGUUUAGUAAGUCGGGUGUUAAAACUCUGGGCUCAACCCGGAGAGGCCAUCCGAUACUGCUGUGACUUGAGUUCAGGAGGGGAGCGGGGAAUUCCUAGUGUAGCGGUGAAAUGCGCAGAUAUUAGGAGGAACACCGGUGGCGAAGGCGCCGCUCUGGACUGAAACUGACGCUGAGGAGCGAAAGCAUGGGUAGCAAACAGGAUUAGAUACCCUGGUAGUCCAUGCCGUAAACGGUGGGCACUAGGUGUGGGUUCCAACUAACGGGAUCCGCGCCGUCGCUAACGCAUUAAGUGCCCCGCCUGGGGAGUACGGUCGCAAGACUAAAACUCAAAUGAAUUGACGG
Molecule: ribosomal RNA, 544 nt
Filed under: uncultured bacterium
Lineage: Bacteria
Description: bacterial SSU rRNA
Rfam family: Bacterial small subunit ribosomal RNA
Source: RNAcentral